AUGAAAAGCAAUAUAGCUGAAUGCUUCAAUAGAGUGCUCAAGGGUGUGCGUGCAUUACCCGUGACGGUAAUAGUUCAAUACCCAUUUGACAAGAUUAAUUCAUACCUUCUAAAGUACUCAAUGGAAAUGGAUGCGAAGAUUGCGGGUGAGAACAGACACAAGUACAAGUUCCCACCCAAGGGUGAUGAAUGGUUGGAAUUUCAAUCAUGGAAGGCGGACUCCCAAGAAGCUAUACUAUAUAACAAUGACGAUUGGUUGUACGAAGUGAAAGAGCCAGAAGGAACCACAAACGAUGGCCGCCAACAUGGAGGUCGGGAUUUCAAGGUCUCCUUAACACGGUGUGAUUGCUCUUGUGGGAGGCCAUUGUUGCUUCUUCUCCCAUGCUCACACUUGUAUACCGCAGCUCGCGUUAGGAAUGUGGACGUCAAGCACCCGCUCACCAUGAGGGAGUACGAGUUCUCAAUCAUGACGGUCAAGAAUACAUGGGCCCCCUGAUUUCACCCAUACUUUGACCAAUCUUAAUGGCCGGAGUACCAUGCAGUUCAACUAUGGCCUGAUCCGGAUUUGAAGGUGGUUAAACAGGGAAGACGUAAGACAAAGCGUCUAAGAGGUGACAUGGACGAAUGGGGCCAUGGUGGCGGCCGCGAAUCAAGCAACAGCCAAUUCCAAGAGCCUCGUGAGAGCUCCCGUUGUGGGGAAUGCAAAGGUCAGGGACACAACAAAAGAAAAUGUACCAAACCAAGAAAGAGGUCAAAGAAAAAUGAUGCAAGCACAAGCCAACAAGGAGGUACACAAGGUCCUAUCCAAGCAAAUAGUACUCAACAAGGGCCAAGCCAAGAAAGUGGUAGCCAACCAAGUGGUAGCCAACAAGUGCCAAACCAACCAGGUAGUAGCCAACAAGGGGCAGGCCAAAGAGGAAAUAGGCAACAAAGAGGGAGGCAACUAGGACUUACAAGAGGACGUGGUGGUGGUAGAGGCCAUGGUGGUGGUAGAGCCCGUGGUGGUCGUCUAGGCCUUGGCGAUGCUCUAGGCCGUUGUGGUGGUCUAGGCCAUGGAGGUGCUCUAGGCAGUGGUGGUCGUCUUGGCCUUGGUGGUGAUCUUGGCCUGGUGGUGGUCUUGGGCAAGGUCGUUAUAGAGGAAUGUUUGGAUACCUAG
Molecule: ribosomal RNA, 1155 nt
Filed under: Triticum aestivum (bread wheat)
Lineage: Eukaryota; Viridiplantae; Streptophyta; Magnoliopsida; Poales; Poaceae
Description: partial small subunit ribosomal RNA
Source: RNAcentral